UGUAGGCGGAAAGUUUAGGUAAAUCCGGACUUUCUUAACGCUGAGAUACGAUGUCGAGCUACUACGGUAGUGAAGUCAUUGAUGCCAUGCUUCCAGGAAAAGCCUCUAAGCUUCAGAUUGUAAGGAAUCGUACCCCAAACCGACACAGGUGGUCGGGUAGAGAAUACCAAGGCGCUUGAGAGAACUCGGGUGAAGGAACUAGGCAAAAUGGUACCGUAACUUCGGGAGAAGGUACGCUCUUAUCAGUGAAGUCCCUUGCGGAUGGAGCAGACGAGAGUCGCAGAUACCAGGUGGCUGCAACUGUUUAUUAAAAACACAGCACUGUGCAAAAUCGUAAGAUGACGUAUACGGUGUGACGCCUGCCCGGUGCCGGAAGGUUAAUUGAUGGGGUUAG
RNAcentral lists this ribosomal RNA (394 nucleotides) under Vibrio sp. OPT20. Its description in RNAcentral is "partial 23S ribosomal RNA". It matches the Rfam family "Bacterial large subunit ribosomal RNA", at positions 1519 to 1893 of the family's 2925-position model. Lineage: Bacteria; Pseudomonadati; Pseudomonadota; Gammaproteobacteria; Vibrionales; Vibrionaceae. The record is from RNAcentral.